CAUGUCCUUAAGAUUAUAAUUUAAGGUCUAAUCUGCCCACUGAAAAUUUAAAUGGCCGCAGUAUUUUGACUGUGCUAAGGUAGCAUAAUAAAUAGUUUUUUAAUUGAAAGCUGGAAUGAAUGAUUGGAUGAGAUAAAAACUGUCUCAAAUUUAUUUUAAUAGAAUUUUAUUUUUAAGUUAAAAAGCUUAAAUUUUUUUAAAAGACGAGAAGACCCUAUAGAGUUUAAUAAAAUUUUUUUUAUUUAUUUUAAUUAAAUUAUAAAUUUUAUUAAUUUUAUUUUGUUGGGGUGAUAGAAAAAUUUAAUAAACUUUUUUUUAUUUUAACAUUAAUAUAUGAUUACUUGAUCCAUAAAUUAUGAUUAAAAGAAUAAAUUACCUUAGGGAUAACAGCGUAAUUUUUUUUGAAAGUUCAAAUUAAGAAAAAAGAUUGCGACCUCGAUGUUGGAUUAAAGUAUCAUUUUGGUGUAGAAGCUAAAAUUGUAAGUCUGUUCGACUUUUAAAACU
Molecule: ribosomal RNA, 504 nt
Filed under: Idgia sp. UPOL ZL0103
Lineage: Eukaryota; Metazoa; Arthropoda; Insecta; Coleoptera; Prionoceridae
Description: partial 16S ribosomal RNA
Rfam family: Bacterial large subunit ribosomal RNA (bases 383-504)
Source: RNAcentral